This 3952-nucleotide small RNA is filed under the name Drosophila ananassae. Its description in RNAcentral is "GF21261". Lineage: Eukaryota; Metazoa; Arthropoda; Insecta; Diptera; Drosophilidae. The record is from RNAcentral.
GGGAAUGGAGAAUCCUCAGUCUAGCUUCAGUUCUCCCUUCAACUAGAAGUGGUUUUUGGGCUUGGUAACUGAUCGAAAGUGUAUAGUUUCUUCGAAAUGUCUUUCUCUCCGAGCAAUGGAAAGAAGCGCAAGCGUAGCCCUGGGGACAACGAUGGAAUCACGCCCAGGAUGGGCCUUGAUGAUUCUCCGCCGGUGGCGCCACCGAGAAGUGGAUACGGUUACGGGCCCGGACUGGGCAUGCUAGGAGGAAUUGGACAAGGGCGGGGACAUGGUCAAGGAUUGGGACAUGGACAUGGACAGGCAAUGAGAUUUGGACUUGGAUUUGGUCAUGGACGGGGACAGGGACUUGGAUUCGGUCAUGGACAAGGACAGGGACUCGGACAAGGACACAGACCGGGGCUUGGACAAGGACAGGGGCUAGGAUCUGACGGUGGAUUUGGCGAGGACACAGAAAGAACACUGAGUGUGCCGGUUGAUGAAAACACUUAGGAUAAGUAACCAGGCGAAGGAGCAAACACUCACUAGGAGCAGGCGACAACACCCACCCGAAGAAGACACCAGGACCAGGACAGUACACCUCAGGGGCUCAUCAAGGAGUGAUUCAAGCAGCAACACCCGACCCGACCACAGAAGCUCCUCAGUCGAUUAACAAUCCAUCAGGCAGGACACUUACGGCAGGGCAGUCACCAAUUAGGCCACUUAAGGCGCGGCAAUCAAUCACCAGGCUGGAACGGAAGAUUUGGGUUUUGCAUUGGAAAUAGUUGUUGAGAUAAGCUUGACGUUUCAUAAAAUGUAAUACAUAUAUAUUUUCGUUUCUCGAUUCUUGCUCUUUGUCUUUUUGUUAGUUUCUUAACUCUUCCCGUUGACUGCCAUGUCGGGUGUUCUUUGUGCUGGCUGUCCCUCUCCGCUAUCCUGCUGGCCUCGUCCUGUCUCUGCCGGACUCGGACUCGGCCCUCCUGACCACUCUCUCGCGCUUUGUUUUCAACAAUCCUGCCUCUUCUAAUGAUUAUAUAGAGCACUGGGCGUCCAAAGUUGGGCCCGCGCGCGUAGUAUGUAUAUUUGAUUUAAAUCGAAGCUGCUAAAAACGUAAAAGCAAAUUCAACAAACAAACUCUCAUAGGUCGUACAUAUUUGUCGAUACAUUGAUUCUUACUCUAGAUAUAAGGUAUGUGAUGCAGAUAUCUGUGGUUCACUGGAUAUAAGGCAAUGGAUACGUGUGUGUGGUGAGGGGUGUGUGGUGUGUGGUGUUUGGUGUUUGGUGUUUGGUGUUUGGGGUGGGGGUAGAUGCCAUAUUAUGAUCUGAUCCGGACCCGCAUCCGGAGUCGGAGUACGGAGUCCUGGAUCCCAAAAUCAAGGCGCAAACAAAGACGAGGGGGCAAAGGUUAACAAUGUUCAAUAUUUUCGUAUCUUAGGGGAAAAUUCGUUUCAUGAAAGGCAAAAAAUUUCUUCUGGCUAUUAGAAGAGUUCAUUUUUUUGUUUGUUUUUUUCUUUAAGCAACAUCAAUACGCUCAAGUACAUAUAUAUGUGUAUAUAUAUAUAGAGUAUAUAUAUAGUGUGUAUAUUGUUCACGUGUGAGUAUUCAUUAUCUUUAAUUUUAAUUGUUUUCAUUCAUUUUUCAUUUUUCAUUUUUAAUCGUUCAUUUUUACUUUCUUGUUUUGUUUUUCUUCGGCUUCUUUGUUUAGUUUUCGAUUGGCGCACGAAUUUUCGAAAAUUAAUUAUAAUAUUCAAUAAAUUGUAUAUAUUCUGUUUCGUUUUUACUCUUAAAGUUUUUGCUUUUGCUUUUUGUUUCUUGAUUAUGAAUUUAAAAUUCUCAAAGCGGAGACUGCAAGCUACUCAAUAAUCAAAACAUCGACUGGAAUCGUAUAUACGUAUAUGUCUGCGUGUAUAUAUCCGCUUCCGGUGCUGGUCGGACGGGGAUCACGGAUCGGGGUAACGCGUAACGGUAUUUCAAGUCUAUAUCUGCCUAGGCCCGCCCUGCCCGCUCCCCUCUUAGUCCUAUUAAAUCUGCUUAAUUUCUGUCGUUUUAGCCAAACGGUUUGUAGACUGGACGGUUGCCAGUUGACUGCCGGAUGUCCUGCCGCCGCCUCGGAUGCCGCCGCAGGACCUGUUGCUGUCCUGUAUAAAAAGCAACACAAAAAUAUACGCGUAGCCUAAAAAAGUCUGACUUGAUUCUUGUUUUUAAUUGUAACUGGCUCUUUGGACUGUUUUUGUUAAUAUUUUUGCUGUUCCGUUUUGUGAUUAACACUUUAAAAUUGCCUGUGUGCCUGCUCCUCCUGCUCGUCGUCCUUUUCAUCCUUCUAUUUCCUCUUAUUUAAUCGCAUAUUUAUCAGUUGUUUCUGCUAUCUGCUGUUUGUUUGAAAAUUUGUUAUUCUAUGACUAUGAAAAAGUAAAAAAAAUAUAGAAAAAUAACCUUCACUUUGUGUUCUUCAAUAUUUAAUCGUAUUAGUUUAUCUGACUCUCUCUCUCUCUCUCUCUCUCUAUCUCUCUGUCUUUCUCGUCCUUCCCGACUGUCUUGCAUUCUGCGUGUCCUGAUCCCAAACCCACUGUCCACCCUCCCGAACAACCCACCUAACCUGAUCACAAGCCCAGUUCUAGUCCUCUGACUCCCAGUAUCCUCAUUAUCCUUAUAUUGUAACAUCAGCAUUGACUCUCAGUCCUUGUUCCAGGGUCCUUGUCCGUCGAGGUCCUAGUCUAUCACCCGCCAGCAACAAACUUCCCACGUCCACCUGCUCCUCCCACUUAAACUCUAUUCCAUUCAAUCCAAAAUUCCCUUCCCUAUUUGAGGUGUACGUAUAUCGUAUAUCGUUUAUCGUUAAUCGCUUAUCGAUUGCUAUAGCUGCUGAAUAUUCUUAGUCUUUUUGCCUGCAACAAAACGGAAUCAAACAUAUAAAGUAAUGUAACGAAACAAAGGGUUAACGAUGGACUACAGAACUGUUCUGGGGGCUCAGGGUGCAGACAUAUUUUGGUGUACGAGUACGAGUAUAUCCCCUAAAGAGGAGGCACAUUAUCGAGGUUCUUGGAUCUUGAGGGGCGCUGUGUAAUCGUAAAAUGUAAACUUUAAAUGGUAAAUGGAAAGUCGUUUCUUGUAGAUUUUAAUUCGAAACGGUUUGAUUUUGUUUGUCUGGAUCGGGGAGUGGAUCAAGGAGGUCCUCUUUCUCCACCCUCCAUCCAGACCAAUCCCAAUCCAAUCCGAUCCUAUCCGUUCGGCUCUGUUCUGUUUAGGCCCUGCCCUAUGUGUCUCUAAGAUCUUUCUAAUAUCGCUUAUCCUACGGCUACUUAGCGCUCUGACUCGCGGGGCUACGCUUUAAAAUAUCGAAACAAUCGAUGGAGUUUCGUAAAGUUUCGACUAAUACAAUUAACACGAAUAUUAUUCAUCAUUACAUAUAUGUAUGCAAUGUAUAUACUUGUGUAUACAUACAAAGAGGUUUUGGUUUCAUUUCCCAUUUCUUAGCAUUGUUUUAGCUUUCGGUUUAGAUUGCGUGGGGUUCCCCCUUUUGCGUGUAUAUUUUAGCUAGGCGCGAUUUAUCGAUAACUAUUUUGAUCUUUGGGUUUCUAGACAAGGUAGCUUGACAUUCUCGAUGAAAGCAACGGAUACUAUACGCCGUGUCUUUCGAUUUCUUGAUGGUUCGGUUGCACUGUUUCUUUUUGGUAUAUAGUUUUCCCUUUGGUUUUUGGUAAUUAAUUUCUUCAAAACAUAUAUCAAUUAAUUACGUAGCUCUGGUUGAGGCGCAAAAGCUCAAUAGACGGCACUGCAUUCGCAAACAAAGUGGCAUCCUCCGCCGUAUCAGCUCCGCGUCGCAUACUUCCGUUUCGUGUGCGCCCAUUUUACAUCCUUUCCAGUUGCCUUGCUGUCUGUUGUUGUUCUUGUCGUCCUGUCGUCCUUGUCCGUCGUCCGUUAUCCUGGUGUUGGUUGUGGUCCUACUCCUGGUACUAGUCUGGUGUUUAUCCUGCCA